Molecule: ribosomal RNA, 250 nt
Filed under: uncultured prokaryote
Description: partial 16S rRNA
Rfam family: Bacterial small subunit ribosomal RNA
Source: RNAcentral
ACGUAGGUGGCGAGCGUUGUCCGGAAUUAUUGGGCGUAAAGCGCGCGCAGGUGGUUAUACAAGUCUCAUUUAAAAGUGCUGAGCUCAACUCAGUGAUGGGUGAGAAACUGUAUGACUUGAGUGCAGGAGGGGUAGGCGGAAUUCCUAGUGUAGCGGUGAAAUGGGUAGAUACUGGGAGGGGCACGAGAGGCGAAGGCGGCCAACUGGAAUGAGACAGACUGUGAGGCGCGAAAACCAGGGGAGCACCAGG